AUGCUGAGUAUUCGGAGUUGGGUUUAUGCGCAUGCGCAAGAGGCUGCGCCGCUCUCUCAACGCAAGUUAUGUAGCAGGCCUGGGCCUGAGCUGCUACUUAGCCGGUCAUCUCCUGUACGGAAUAAGGCGGGAGGAGGAGGCGGCGGCAGGAUUGCACGACCCGGCGGACUUUCCCGGGCUAUGGGGCCCUGGCUGGAUUCGGGCUGGAGUCUUCAUUCAGUCGGUGGGGCCUAAACGGGGUGCCCGAAGGAGAGAUAUGAGCCAGUGAAUAAGGAGGGGAGAAGCUGGCGCUAGCUCCCCGCUUCCACCCCCACAAGAGCCCAGGGAGCGACGCUACUAUGGCUCAGGAGAAAAUGGAGCUGGAUCUAGAAAUCCCGGGGCCCCCGAGUGAUGGGAAUCUGAGGAGAUCCAAUAGCGCCCCUCUAAUCAAUGGGCUCAGUGACAAUUCACAGGUGUUUCAGACAGAUGUUAUAAGAGCACGGCGGAACAGCACCACUGUAGUGAAUCGACAGAGUCUGAUGCCAGCAUCUUCCCCCAUUCGCAUUCCCAGCAGCAGGCUUUAUCAGCUCAAAAGGGAAGAAACGUUAGAUGUCAUGGACAGAGAAACAGCUAGGGAAAGGGAAGUGCAAACAUCGAUGCAGAUGAUUGUGUCUUGGGAGGAAAGCUUUAACUUGAGUGAUAGUGAUCUUGAGAAGAUUGAAAAAACGUCAUCUCCAAAGCGCAUUGACUUUAUACCAGUAUCUCCAGCUCCAUCACCUCCAAGAGGAAUUGGAAAGCAAUGUUUCUCUCCAUCUUUACAAAUGUUUGUGAGCAGUAAUGGCCUGCCCCCGAGUCCUAUACCCAGUCCUACAAGGCGUUUCUCAACCAAAAGAAGCCGGAGUCCUGUCAACUAUAUACGUCCAAGUGCAUUUGGCCCUAUUAAAAGGAAAGUUUUAGGUGAGAUGGAGAUGGAAGUGGAAAAUCAACCAAAGAGACUUUUUCAGGGGACCACAAACAUGCUUUCUUCUGAUGUCACUCAGAUGUCCUACUUCAGCUGGUACGAGAGAUAGGUUGGUUAUCCAGUGCCUGGAUAACAAAACAAUAUACUAGACUAUUAUCAAAAAAGAAAGCCUGUCUUCAGAUCUUGAAAGCAGCAGCAGCAUCAGCUCAUCAUGUGAUUCUGUGGCAAAGGAAAGCAGUGUGACCAAUUCUCCCGCAGCCUGCUCAAGCUCUUUCUCUUCGUUCAUGUCACUGGAAGAUCUGUCCCCAAAGUAACGCUCUGUAAUUGUUGCCAUGCUUAUUUUUUUUAUUUUUAUGUUUUUCUGAAGCAAGCACCUCUGGCCUGAUAGACUUGCAGGACUUAGACACUGGAGUGGCAACACAUGGCUUAUAUAUCAAUUAGGGAUGCACUAAAUCCACUAUUUUAAGAUCCAGCCAAACCCCAAAUACUAUGCGAAAGAUUUAGCUGAAUACUGAACCAAAUCUGAACCCUAAUUUGCAUAUGGAAUAUAGGAAAGGAAGGGUUAAAGGCAACUGUGCGCUUUGCAUGCGCCGGAAAUUGUUCAGCUUAUGUGACAGAAAAUCACCUGAUUUUAAGGAUUCAAAUUCUAGGCCAGAGGCAUGGAUUUGGCCAAAUUUAGCCUGCUGAAAAAGGCAGACUCUGAGCCGAAUCCUGGCUUCGGUGCAUCCCUAAUAUCAAUGAAAAUUAUGCACUGAUGUGCUCAAAUUUUGCCAUUGUGAUCCAGUUAUUUAUUGGUAGUUUUCCAAUUUUAUUUCUUUUCCUAUUUAUUUAUUUAACAGGAUUAUAUUCUGUUUUACAAUCAUGAAUUAUAAAUGUCCUUUUUUUUUUUUUUUUACCCAGUAUGUUAUACAUUACUUUGAAAUUGUAGCAGAAAAAAAAAUAUAUAUAUAUUUUUCCAGUGGUGUUUGCAUUAGUCAAUGCAAAUAGGUCAUUUAACUUGAUGUAUGACAAAAUGACCAGUUGCUUAAGAAAAGCAGUGAAACAGUGAAGACAGAAUACAUAAGUGUCUGAUGAGAUACUGCCUGCUGAACCCCAUUAGCUAUAUAUAUUCAGUAGCCUUUCUUUGUCUUGUAUAUAGACUUGUUGGCAUCUAUGUCACAUUGAUAAACAGCUGUUAAAAUUAAUUUCAGUCACCUGUCAAGGAUGACACAUUCUUUCUCUUUUCCAUUUGUGUGGUUCUGCAUCAGAUGUAGGAUUGGACAUAUGGAGAAGUAAUGUGACAUUCUAAUGUUCAGUUUAGGUGGUGUGCAUUAUGAUCUUCCUGUCUUUAAAAAUCCAGCAUGAAAAACAUCAGAAUUCCAGCUGGAUCAUUCUGGGAGGGUUGGCAUAUGCCUCCAAGACUGUAGAGUGUUUUAAACUUCACUAGCUACCAAGAGACUAAUCGCAGUAAAGCGGAAACACUAAUGAGGCUACAACACAAGGUUUAGAGCUGAACACCUGUAUAGAACAGAUUGUUAAUUUAUAUGGCAGUAAUAGUUGGCGAUUUUAGUUCAAACAAACUAUUCAUAACAGUGUGGAACUGACAUUUGUCAGUGUAUUAGUAAUAUACCUUAGGCUGAAACAUGCCUUCCACUGCAAUGUGAUCUACAGUAAAAAAAAAAAAAAAAAAAAAUCUGUCUCCGAUGUAAAUAGAUUUGCAAGGUUUUACUGUGAUGUGAUGCUACAUAGUGUUGUAGCAAAAUGUCUGUUGUUCAAAAUGUCUAUUGUGCAAUCAGUUUGUCAGGAAUACCUGCAUAUUACAAUGAUACUGUAAUGUUCCUGUCAGUGGAAGGAAUCAUCAGUAUCAAAAAAUUAAUGCAAACACUGUUUUUGUGUUUUUAUUUUUUUACAUUAACACUAUCAGUAAUGCUGUGUGUGGCACAAUGUAAAUCAUGCUUUCUCCUGUUAGAGGAUUGUGUCCUUACUCAGCCCUGCAUGACCGGCCAACAUGACCCUUUUAUAAUGUGGGAAUAGGCGGAAUGCCAGAUGGACAAGAUACCUGUUGGCUGGUGGUAGUAAAGGAUGAUUGUUUAAAAAAAAACAGAACACUCCUCAACAUCCUUAAGUGGGUUAAGUUUGAAGUCAUAAACAUAGGUGCCCUAAACACAUUUUGUGUAACCAGGCUUUUUUUUUUCCUGUGUGGAGUGUUGGUGAUUCCACUAUUAGAAAGGGAAAGAUUGUAGUUCAAAUGCAAUCUUUUAAGAUAUAAUGUGGAUUCUUUAGAUUUCUCAAGUCACCUCUUUUAAAAUGUAUUCAGCAUAAUAUAUCAUAUGAGAUCUUUUAUUAUUACCCCCAAUCACUGCAUUGACUGCUGAAUACGUCCCUAGACCUUCCAGUCACCUGGGCACACUUCACGUUCUCCAUUAUUUAUUUGUCUAGUUUUGCUGCCAGAACAGUUACAAGUGUCCACAUGGUAGAAAUGCUCCAAGGCACCACAAAUCCUUUUUAGUUGUGUUGCUAGUUUAAAACCUUACACAUUUAGCCUGGUUACAAAGCACAUGGUUAACCUUCAGGCAAAAGAGAAGUUUCCUUUCUGGAGAUAUAUAAAAAUGUUGUCUUUUAACUUUACAGUUCUAUGUUGAUGUAUGUGGAUUAGGUUGGUUUUUGGCUUACUGUAAAGAUCGUAUUUUGAAAAGCACUUUGUAAAUAUAUUUUUUGUUUUGCUAAAUUUUUUGAGGAACGUACAAGGCCCUGUAUAAUAUUCGCAUUGAUUUGCUUUCCAAGAAAGCUGUUAUAUUGUCAGGAGCAAACCAUGCAGAGACCCAUUUAUGGCUCUGUAGAAUAUAUUAAUGGCCAAAGUGUGUUGACCAGGAAAUAUGUUUUUAAUCUGACUCUAAUGAAGAGGGAAAAAUAGUGCCUAUAAUGUGUUACGGCUUUUGAAUACAAAAAAAAACUUUACAUGAAAGUUAUUCUUAUUUCUGGGAAAUGUAGAGGAAACUACAGGAAGCAUUGAUGGCAGGGAGCAGAGGAAGGCACAAUUCUAGGUUUGCUCUUGGCCUUUUAUGACAGAGAACAUAAGCCGUUUUCAUAUUUAUUAUUUUGAGUUGCAUUCGCUGGAAAAGGUGGUUCUAGUCUUAUGUACUUUUAUAUGCAUGGGAUGCAUUAUAUGCCUACUGUUUGAGUGCAAUUGUGGGCAAACCAGUGUCAGAAGCAACAUUUUACUAAGUAGCAGGCUUAUCCUUUUUGUUUAGCAGUUCAUUGCUUGUACCAAAGUAGGUAGUCUGUUAUAUUUUGGGUGGCUUGUUUUUUACUUCAGUAAAGUUGCUUUAGCUUAUGCAGGAAAAAUAUUAACAUAGCUAAGGGUGAUGUGUUAUUGUAUAAUACUGCAAGAUAUUGCCCAGAGAUCAUUGUUACGUGUUGGAAAAGGAACAUUUGUUUUCGCUCAAGUGCUUUCAAGCCGAGCAAGCAGUUUCAACAUCUACCUAGGCAUUGUUAUUAACAUUUUCUGUCACAAAGUAGUCAAUUCAUUCUGCCAGUUCAAAACAGCUGUAAAUAUAUUCUGUUUUCUUUAUAAUAGGUUGUUGUGGGGUCUUCUACUUGCAUUGAAAGAGAAGGAAAGUUAUAAUCACUGAGGGGGUGCCAAAAAUUAGGCCCCUCACUGAUUUAUAUUUGCUUUAUUUUUUUCACUGUACUGCACAGCAUCUGCCUGGGGCCAUCAAACAAGCUGAAAAAGAUCAUCUCUAACAGACUUACCCUGCAACGCACCCCCAGGGGGUCUGCAACAGACCUACCCUGCAACGCCUCCCCCCCAGUGAUUAUAACUUUUCUUCUCCAUUAACAGAUUAACUGUUGCAACAAGCCUAUUUGUCAAGUAGUUAGUUGAGUCUGGGGAUUCUCUUAUGACCUCUUACACUUUUCAAUGCAGGUAAAAACCGCACUCGCCAAUCCCUGUAUCCAUUUACAUAAUUAAACACUAUUAAAUGGUCACUGCACCUUCUGAUAACUAUUCUCUUGGUAGAAAAUGGCACGUUAAACAUAAUUAGGUAGUAGUUUGUUUUGGCUUGGUUUUUGCUCAGUUUAACAGAAUGUACUACUUUACAUUUAGCACAGUCAUGCAGGGAGCCAGUGAAGCACCAGCUUUGUUUUUUGAUCCUUAGCCUUCUCCAAUACCUUUCUGUUUCCCAGCAGCCAGAUUGUUGUCUCAGAAAACUUUGAGGGUUGAAUAAAAGGGCAGUAUAGAUGUGGGUAGAUGAGACUGGUGGCAUGGUGGAUGCAAUCAAUUGUGCUAUUCAGCACAUGGAAUGAAAGGUUGGGUGUGCACAGACGCUUAGCCUAUGGAAACUGGUUGCUCUGGGGGGACAUUGACUCUAGCAACAAGAAUUGCUUCUAUACUAAUGCUGUCCUAGUGACUUAGUUUUUGCUUGAUUUAGAAUCUUCUGUUUUGCCUCUACUUUUUUUUCCCCCACUGUCGGCAAAUUCUGGAGCUGCCGAGAUCCAUUCAAACCAAUGGAUAUAUCAGUAUUUAUUUUAACGACAAAAAACGCUACUUACUAAUUGUCAAGAGUACUUAAAUUACUUCUCCCCUUUAAAGGGGUUGUUCACCUUUAAACAUACUGUUAGUAUGACUUAGACAUUGAUUUUCCGAGAAAAUUUGCACUUGGUUGUUUUGUGGUUUUUGUUUUGUUUUUCACUUAUUUAGCUUUUUGUUUAGCAGUUCUCAAUUUUGGAAUAGCAGUUAUAUGGAUGCUAGGGACUUGUUUACCUUAGCAACUAGGCGGUGGUUUAAGAGACUGAAGUAUGACUAGGAGAGGGCCUAAAUAGAAACAUAAGGAAUCAAAUUUGUAAGCAGUUUUUUGGCUGCUGGGGUCAGUGACCCUCAUUUGAAAGCAGGAAAGAUGUUGAAAAGGAAGGCAAAUAAUUUAAACACAAAACCAAUUGCAAAGUUUUUUGGAAUAGAACAUUCUAUAACAUUCUAACAGUUAUUUAUUCCCUUCUGUCUUUGUUUUCCGUAAUUUUUGUUUUGCUUUACUUAAGACAUUAAAGCCUAAUUAGUGGGGGCGUGCAAAUAUGAAACAUGAAAACAUAAAAUUUUGUAUCUGUUCUGACCUGAGCACACUGUUUUUAAAAAUGUACUCAAAAGUUGAAAUUCUCAAUACUUAAUUUUUAUUUUUUUUUUGCGGGAAAGAAUUAGAGGGAACAUCUCUCACAACAAGGUGUUCCAUGGCUGUAUUGCAUACAGUCUUUCUGCUUUUAGAAACAAAGGACCUUUAUGUGUAUGUGAAGUGUUGCAAAGUCUAGCAUACUUUUUAACAUUCGUGUCCCUUCUAUCAAACAGAUUAAAAAAAUUAUAUAUUUUUUAAAGAUUUAUCAACACCUAUUUGUAAAUUUGUUUUGCCUUUGAGAUAUUUGAAUUAAUCAUACCUUGUACUGGCAAAUAAUUAAAUGCACCCAUUUUGGUAAUAAACCUGUGUGGGUUUGUUGGGGUUUUUUUUUUUUGUAGUUUUUUAAUUAAAAAAAAAAUUGAGUCUUUAGUACAUAGAAGCUGUGUUUUGCAUAUCAUGGAUUAAAAAAAUGCAGAAUUAUCAUUGAAUAGCCUUAUUUUUGGCAAGAAGUGCUCAUCUUGUGUAUAGAUUUACAUUUAUGUGUAAUGUUCAUAAAUUGUGUGUAUAUUGUAAAGUUAUCAAUCAAUAGUAUUGUGAUUGAAAUGCUCUGUAUAGUGAAAUUGUAACUAAAAAUGUACAGACUUGUCGUGGCAGUUUCACUGCUUCAAAAAUAAAUUGACUUCAUAUUUGUUCUUAA
Molecule: RNA transcript, 6718 nt
Organism: Xenopus tropicalis (tropical clawed frog)
Lineage: Eukaryota; Metazoa; Chordata; Amphibia; Anura; Pipidae
Gene: pabir2
Gene name: PABIR family member 2
Exons: 10
Source: RefSeq, marked predicted